RNAcentral lists this ribosomal RNA (253 nucleotides) under uncultured bacterium. Its description in RNAcentral is "partial 16S ribosomal RNA". It matches the Rfam family "Bacterial small subunit ribosomal RNA", at positions 524 to 776 of the family's 1533-position model. The record is from RNAcentral.
UACGUAUGGAGCAAGCGUUAUCCGGAUUUACUGGGUGUAAAGGGUGCGUAGGUGGCAGGGCAAGUCAGAUGUGAAAGACCGGGGCUCAACCCCGGGGCUGCAUUUGAAACUGCUUUGCUGGAGUGCAGGAGAGGCAGGCGGAAUUCCUAGUGUAGCGGUGAAAUGCGUAGAUAUUAGGAGGAACACCAGUGGCGAAGGCGGCCUGCUGGACUGAUACUGACACUGAGGCACGAAAGCGUGGGGAGCAAACAGG